UUCUUUCUUAGCAAGGAUGCAAUCAGAAAAUAACCAAGUCGUCUCCAAUCAAGGACUAAGUAGCACUAUAUAACAGUCUUUCUUUCACUUACAAGUUCUCUGACGCUCUGCUUUGUUGAAUAAUUUUAAGGCUACUAACAUCAAUCUAAGGGGAUGAUUGUGAAGGCAAAAGCUAUCUCACCUUGAGAAGUUCGGAUGAACGGAAGCCGCC
Molecule: long non-coding RNA, 211 nt
Filed under: Linum usitatissimum (flax)
Lineage: Eukaryota; Viridiplantae; Streptophyta; Magnoliopsida; Malpighiales; Linaceae
Description: long non-coding RNA (LUSI_LNC000350)
Source: RNAcentral